Long non-coding RNA from Bactrocera dorsalis (oriental fruit fly), 339 nucleotides. RefSeq lists it as uncharacterized. The transcript has 4 exons. The record is from RefSeq and is a predicted model, not a curated record. Lineage: Eukaryota; Metazoa; Arthropoda; Insecta; Diptera; Tephritidae.
UUUUAUGAUUGAGUUUUCCCUGCAAGACGGAGGUAACAGAUUGCACAAACACAUUGAAACAUUUUCAGCUGUUCACUAACACUGUUACAUUUUCUGGAAUUUUCAAUGGAAUGGGAGAAUACGAGAGGCGAAUACCCAAUAUUUCAAGAAGAAUAAACGAAAAGCGCAGUUUAUUUUGGAUUUUAAAGAGAGAAAACGAAAGAGGUUAACAAGGAGAAAAAGAAAUCGUUUGGACCAUUGGUAAAAUUCAAAUCUAUUGCGUGCAGCAACCAAAUAAUGGAGUAUGUUUUGAAUUAUUAAAGUUAAAUAGUGUAUAUUUAAUUCAAAUAUUUGUUAUAG